This is a long non-coding RNA of Thalassophryne amazonica, 102 nucleotides long. RefSeq lists it as uncharacterized. The record is from RefSeq and is a predicted model, not a curated record. NCBI's taxonomy places the organism in Eukaryota, Metazoa, Chordata, Actinopteri, Batrachoidiformes, Batrachoididae. The transcript has 3 exons.
GUUGCAAUACACAUGUACAGAUGUUAUUAAUGCUAUAUGCCAUUCAUGCUAAUAAACUCCCCUAAAUCCUACACACUAUAGCUUUAAUAUUUACUGGAGAGG